Molecule: ribosomal RNA, 510 nt
Filed under: Olea europaea subsp. europaea
Lineage: Eukaryota; Viridiplantae; Streptophyta; Magnoliopsida; Lamiales; Oleaceae
Description: Eukaryotic small subunit ribosomal RNA
Rfam family: Eukaryotic small subunit ribosomal RNA
Source: Rfam by way of RNAcentral
UCAAAGAAUUCAUUCAUUAUUGGUUUAUAGGAACCUAAUUUUUUUUAAUUUGAUAUGAAUUUAUUAGUUAUGGACUCUUAUUGUUUUUAUGAUAUUAUUCGAUAAAUUUUUAAAUGUUUGAAAGCUCAUUUCGAUUUUUAAGAUAUGAGUAUAGUGGCACUCAAAUCUCAGGAUCUGGUCGUCACAGCGUGUCUGGCCACUUCUGCCUUUCUAAGCUCCAGUUCCUCAAUCAUAAACACUCUAGGCUUGACCUUACUAUUGAAGGCUUAGCUGUUUUGUAUAAGAUGAUUCAUGAUAACUCGACGGAUCGCACGACCCUCGUGCCGACGAUGCAUCAUUCAAAUUUCUACCCUAUCAACUUUCGAUGGUAGGAUAGUGGCGUACUAUGGUAGUCGGUGACGGAGAAUUAGGGUUCGAUUCUGGAGAGGGAGCCUGAGAAAUGGCUACCACAUCCAAGGAAGGCAGUAGGCGCGCAAAUUACCCAAUCCUGACACGAGGAGGUAGUGACAA